GGGGAGAGAGAUUCAUGUGGGAUCGGGGGCGAGGAUCUGCCGGGUUCUCUGAGCUACGAGCCAAGGCCAGGGAGCCCAGGCAAUCCCAUCCCAGGAGCUAGAGUUAGGUCCCUACUCAGAGUGCCCAUGUGGGUACUGCCUGGAAACAGACAGCAGGUAGCAAACCUCUAACAGGGGCACCGGGGCAACCUGCUUGAAUUGGCUGCUUGGGGAGCCCAGGGCCAAACUGCCUCUGGGAAGAGAUGAGGUCAUGGAGGCCUUAACUUAUCAGAAAGGAAAGCGAUUUUCUAUGCAGGUCACCCGGCCCUAUUUUUGCUCCUGGCUGUCUUUCCAGGGAGAGCCCAUUGGAUCAGUUUCACUUUGCUUACUGUCAGUUUCCUUUCUGGUUCUUGGGCCCUUUGGGGGAGCAAAGGGGGGGGCAGAACCACUGUUUAAAAACAGGUCUCUUUGUAUAAAUGUAUAUAACUAAACUAUUGUAUGUAAAGUAAAUAAGGUUUUUAAAAUGUUUAAGAAGCUUCAUUUAAAAAUUAAAUUAAAAUGCAAAGCCCCCCCGGCCUGGUGGCCAGGGCCCAGGCAGUGUGAGUGCCACUGAAAGUCAGCUCGCAUGCCGCCUUUGGCGCACCUGCUGUAGGUUGCCUACCCCUGGUUUAAAACAUACUUUCAAUUUAAAAGAGAGUUCUAUUGAUCCCCGCUUUUUGUUCAAAGCUGACUUUUACAAAACCAACAAUUUUCUGGGUGAAUCUGAUGCCCUUUUCCCUUUCUCCUCUCUGGGAUCAUGCCCAAUCUAAUGCUAUCUAUCUAGGAAUGGCUCUUCAGCCAUGCCUACAGUACACUCCCCCACCCCCCAUAAAUGCACCUGAACAAUGCAGUGUGCAGCUGGCUCAGCACUGCUAAUUGGGUUCCUAGCACCAGUCUAUUGCUGCCCUGAUCAGCAAGGACCAGGAGUACUCAGGGUGCUGCAAACACAGCCAGCAUUGGUUACUCCCUGUCAGCCAUAGUCAGUUGCUUCAAGUCCUAUCAUUGCUAAUCAGAGCAUCCUAGAUGCUGCUGUUUUGCAAGCUGGGUGAAGUUAGGCCCUAGCAGCUUAUCUAGCCACCCAGCUGCCUGAGCACAUUCACAGUUGCCGCAGACGUUGCUUGUUUACUGUCCUUGCUCCUCCUCUGUAGGGGAAGAACUGGGAGUCAGACGACACAGGUUCUUUUCCCACAUCUACCACUAACUGAAUGUGUGACUCGUGCUGUUCUGUACCCAUGUCCCCACUUGGAAAACAAGGAUUGUGUCACCUACCCUGCACUGCAACUACCAGCCGUGAGUCAGGAAGCGUCAUUCUGAGCAAGUGGGUGGUUCCGCUGAUUUCAGUGGGAACAUGUCCAUGCUUUAACGGAACGUGUCGCUUUGGCUGAAAAUUUUGAUGGAAAAAAAGGCAAAGCGAAUAGUGAAAGAACGUCAGAAUGGCCAUACUAGGGCAGACCACUGGUUCCUCAAGUCUAGUAACCUCUUCGCUGCCAGUGGCCAGUGCCAGAUGCUUCAGAGGGAAUGAACAGAACAGGGCAAUUAUCGAGUGAUCCAUUCCCCGUCAUCCAGUCCCAGCUCUGGACUUUCUGAUUUUGUUUCAAUAAUGGCAAAACAUAUUAAAAUAUGGUCUUGAAUGGGAA
Molecule: long non-coding RNA, 1655 nt
Organism: Gopherus flavomarginatus (Mexican gopher tortoise)
Lineage: Eukaryota; Metazoa; Chordata; Testudines; Testudinidae
Exons: 2
Source: RefSeq, a predicted model, not a curated record